UUAGCCUACGGGACGCAGCAGUGGGGAAUAUUGCCCAAUGGGGGGAACCCUGAUGCAGCGACGCCGCGUGAGUGAAGAAGUAUUUCGGUAUGUAAAGCUCUAUCAGCAGGGAAGAUAACGACGGUACCUGACUAAGAAGCCCCGGCUAACUACGUGCCAGCAGCCGCGGUAAUACGUAGGGGGCAAGCGUUAUCCGGAUUUACUGGGUGUAAAGCGAGUGCAGGCGGUUCCAUAAGU
RNAcentral lists this ribosomal RNA (237 nucleotides) under uncultured bacterium. Its description in RNAcentral is "partial 16S ribosomal RNA". It matches the Rfam family "Bacterial small subunit ribosomal RNA", at positions 333 to 588 of the family's 1533-position model. The record is from RNAcentral.